This 2511-nucleotide ribosomal RNA is filed under the name Triticum aestivum (bread wheat). RNAcentral describes it as "partial small subunit ribosomal RNA". Lineage: Eukaryota; Viridiplantae; Streptophyta; Magnoliopsida; Poales; Poaceae. The record is from RNAcentral.
AUGGAUGCCGCCGCCAUCGCUCUGGCCCGAGCCAAAACGAGGUUUUCAGCCCGGCCACCACCCUCCGCCUCCGCCCAGGGUACUACCCUACAUGAGAGCGUCGGCCGCAUGACCAUCGAGAACAUCGAAGGCCCGCCCCAAUGCUGCCACGACAACAAGCCCGUCUGUGCCCGAGCCACGAGCUCUGCCCACGAGCCCGCAGCUCCCGCCACCAAGGCCGUCGCCCUGCAACCAGACACUCCAGAGACCAUCAAAGGCAUGAGCUUUGAGCCGACCGGCAGAUCCCUAGCACCGUUGGAGCCGCCGGUGACCGACCCGCCGCGAGCAAUGAUCAGCGGCCCUAGAGGCACUAGGCCAGGAAAAGGGAGGGAGCGGAGCUCGUCCAGACCGACGCACCCCUGUGUCGGUGAGACGAUGAUAGGUAGUCGGAAGAGGCGGCACCCAUCCGCCGGCGAGGGCCGACCGCACCCUGCCGCCGAAGAAGGCCUCCAAAGGAGCGCCAACCGCCACCACACAACAUGCGCCUCCACGCUCUGGCCAGGUCUAGCCGGUGCCCCGUCACCCCACCGGAGUAGAGCGAACACCUACUGCAGCACCACCACCUUAGAAGGGCCGCCAGCCACCCUUGCUGCCACCAACCGCCACUACCAGCCGAAUCUGGGCAGGGGCUGCCAGAUCCACCGCCAACACGCUCCCGGGCCUCUAGAUCCCAUGGGCCCGGGGGGGAGGGGAGGAGGCGGUGCUGGCAAUGCACCAGGACGGCAGGAGGAGGGAGGAAGCUGGAGCAGAGGCCGACCUGAAGCUGGAGCCGAAGCUGAAGCAGGAGCGCCUAGGGAGGGGAGAGGGGGGUGUUCUCUAGUGGCUUGGGAGAUCAUUUAUGGGGGUUCACUAUAUGCGAUCAGGAGGAUAGUUAUAUCUAGCAAGUGCGCCAGUCCACACCAUGGUUGCAGAGGAGGACCAAGUAGUAGCAUCCGGAUUAUCAGGAGAAAAAAGCAAGGACCAACGACAAAAAGCAGAUCGGGGAAAGGAAAAACUGCAUUGACAGAUAAGCUAGGGAGAUCAGAUCAUAUUGUCCUCUUGAUUGAAUCAAUCUGGGGGAAGGGAGACAUCCUCAUCCUGCUGCUGCUCGGCCUGGUGGCAUCGAACUACAUGCGUGAAUGCAAACUGACCCCCGCUUCGACGCCGAAAAGGUCGAAGGGAUCAAGCGCCUCCACGUCUCCCCACAGGUUCGCUUCGGUUCAUCCUGUCCUCUCACGCCGUGGAAAUUCGGACUGGUUUGUUGUUCGCAUUCAGCACCGGUGGUCAAGGUGGUCAAGAGAGAACGUGGCGGCGCAGUCGUUGGAGGUGAAGAAGCUCGUCUACUCCUGCCUCCUGUACUACCCCGAGAAGGGCUCACUCUAUUUCAGCAGCAUCCAAGCUCGGAUGUGCACGUGGACCAGGCCCACAGAAAAUAUGACCCAGUCCUUCUCGUGGACGGCCCAGCGGCGCGGCAGCGUCGUGGGCGGUGGGGCGGGCGCGCACCUCGACGACCCGAACGGCGCCGCCAUCUCGGUGCUCCUCGACUCCCGCUUCGACGGCGACAAGCUCGACGCCCUCAAGAACCUUCUCGCCCUCGUCUCUCGGGCCGUCGACGUCGCCCACCUCUCCCCGCAGGUCCGGCUAGCGUCCCCCCUCCUCUCGUCUCGUCUCGUCUCACGCCGUGGAUUCAGGCGACGGAAUUGCUCAUCUUCCAACCUGAACAGACUUGAUGUUUUGCACUCGGGAGGUGCAUCUGGUCCAAAACCAGCCGCCCCCCAUGAAAGCCCAGCCGCCACUUCAUUUCCUUUCCCGCUUGCGCCCGUCCACCCGCCCGAAGAACAGUCGACCGGAAUCCGCCGCCGCGAUCGCCCAAAACCUCGCCGUCGGCGCCGCCACCACCCCACAUGCCCGUCGCCGCCGCCCUCCGCCGCUGUCGCCCCCGCCGCCGCCCGGACGCCGCUGAAUCGGGUGGGAGCUGGCGCGGGAUUCGGCCUCUCCGGUGGUCCGGCUGCCGCGGUAGGCCUCCGCCGGGUCUUAGGCUGCCGCCGACCUCCUCCCGUCGGCCGUGAGCUUGUCCACGGCCGUUGCGCCGGCCGCACGACCGUCGCACCAAGCCCUCCGCCCGGCUGCCGAACUAGUCUUCGCCGCCCGCCGAGCUCCUCUUGGCCGGCCUCCAACCUCAUUUCUUAUCACCGCCGCCGUCCGGAGCCGACCACAGCCGUCAGCAGCAGCCAAUCCAACCGACGGCCAUCUUCUUCCAUCGCGCACACAAGGUGUUCGACGGAAUUCCCCAAGGUGGUUGGACAUCGGCUGAACAGCAGUCGGGCGGCUGCUGGCCAGUUUUGGACCAUGAAUUUGGACCAUCUAUUGGAGUUGCUCUUUUGGACCAUCUGUUGGAGUUGGCCUUUUUCCGGAGCUCCAAAACGCACUUUUUGGCGGUCCAAAAUUUACAUCUCCGGUUUUGGACCGUCAAAAUUUGGAGCAUCUAUUUGA